GGUGGCUCAGUGGUAGAGUGCUUGUCUUGCAUGCAUGAGGCCCUGGGUUCGAUUCCUCAGUACCA
Molecule: non-coding RNA, 65 nt
Organism: Dipodomys ordii (Ord's kangaroo rat)
Lineage: Eukaryota; Metazoa; Chordata; Mammalia; Rodentia; Heteromyidae
Source: Rfam